RNAcentral lists this small nucleolar RNA (107 nucleotides) under Gossypium arboreum. Its description in RNAcentral is "Plant small nucleolar RNA R71". It matches the Rfam family "Plant small nucleolar RNA R71". Rfam says of the family: R71 is a member of the C/D box family of snoRNAs containing the C (UGAUGA) and D (CUGA) box motifs. The record is from Rfam by way of RNAcentral. Lineage: Eukaryota; Viridiplantae; Streptophyta; Magnoliopsida; Malvales; Malvaceae.
AACCCAUGGUGAGGGCACCUUCUCAAUAAAUCCUUGUAUCUCUCCCAUGCAUCAUAAAGAGUUUUUAGAUCUAUCUACCCAAAAGAAGAGAUAUCAUUCCUUAAUUU